AUUGAACGCUGGCGGAAUGCUUUACACAUGCAAGUCGAGCGGCAGCGCGGGGGCAACCCUGGCGGCGAGCGGCGAACGGGUGAGUAACAUAUCGGAACGUACCCCGUCGUGGGGGAUAACACAGCGAAAGCUGUGCUAAUACCGCAUACGACCUGAGGGUGAAAGCGGGGGAUCGCAAGACCUCGCGCGAUGGGAGCGGCCGAUAUCGGAUUAGCUUGUUGGUGAGGUAAAGGCUCACCAAGGCGACGAUCCGUAGCUGGUCUGAGAGGACGACCAGCCACACUGGAACUGAGACACGGUCCAGACUCCUACGGGAGGCAGCAGUGGGGAAUUUUGGGACAAUGGGGGCAACCCUGAUCCAGCCAUUCCGCGUGAGUGAAGAAGGCC
This 387-nucleotide ribosomal RNA is filed under the name uncultured bacterium. Its description in RNAcentral is "bacterial SSU rRNA". It matches the Rfam family "Bacterial small subunit ribosomal RNA", at positions 29 to 416 of the family's 1533-position model. The record is from RNAcentral.